Long non-coding RNA from Perognathus longimembris pacificus (Pacific pocket mouse), 171 nucleotides. RefSeq lists it as uncharacterized. The transcript has 2 exons. The record is from RefSeq and is a predicted model, not a curated record. NCBI's taxonomy places the organism in Eukaryota, Metazoa, Chordata, Mammalia, Rodentia, Heteromyidae.
CUCAACAUAGACCUACCCUAAGACCUAGCCAUACCACUCCUAGGCAUCUAUCCUGAACAACAGGAUCCAGGGUACCACAAAGACAUCUGCACAUCCAUGUUUAUCACUGCACAAUUCACAAUAGCCAAAAUAUGGAAACAACCCAGAUGCCCCACUACAGAUGAAUGGAUC